AUGAUGGAUGGCACUGGCUGCGUGGAUGGCUGGGAGGUGAUGGUGCUGCUGGUGGAUGGAUGGCGCUGGUUGGCGCACCACCACGCCGGCGUCGCCGUGGCGGCGGCCGGAGGUGGAGAAGGAGGUUGGGGGAGAGAGAUGUGUGCCAGGCCCGAUCGGAUCCCUCCAGCGCCUAGGGAUUUUGUUCCCCUCCUCUCAUCUGCACUUUGUGAUUUGGCCAUCUUUCUUCUCUUCUUUCUUCACAAGAAGGUCCUCCCACUUCUUUAUCUAGCCCCCUGGUUACUUCUCUUCAUAUCACACAAGUCUCUUCUUCCUUCUCUUCUCUUCUUCACUCUUCUCGAUAGCCACAUAGACGGAAUCUUGACGAUUAUUAGUGCCUUUGCGCACAUUUCUGCAAGAUAG
This 402-nucleotide ribosomal RNA is filed under the name Triticum aestivum (bread wheat). RNAcentral describes it as "partial small subunit ribosomal RNA". The record is from RNAcentral. Lineage: Eukaryota; Viridiplantae; Streptophyta; Magnoliopsida; Poales; Poaceae.